Sus scrofa (pig) is the source of this 1480-nucleotide non-coding RNA. NCBI's taxonomy places the organism in Eukaryota, Metazoa, Chordata, Mammalia, Artiodactyla, Suidae. The record is from RefSeq and is a predicted model, not a curated record.
CGCCAGCCCGGAAGAAGAACCCGCAGCCCCGCGUCCCCUUCUGGCACCGGUUUGAGUUGGUUCCACUUUAUGGCCUGGGGUUCCUUCGAGAGUUUAUGGGGUUUUUUCUGAUCCCUCUUUGCGAGACCUCAGGUGACCGCCGGAUCAAAUCAAACCGAAUUCCUGUCCCUGGGGAGAAAGCUUGCUGCGGAUGGCAAAACGCACGUGCAGCGGAAGCGGGACCAGAGCGCGACAUUCUCCCUUCAGUGCCAGACGUUGGAGCGCAGGGCAUCGCCCUUUUCAGCUUUGGGGUUCACAGGGUUUUGAGUCCUAUGGAUGGUGGCAUGUGGAAAGGCUCGUUAGGUCUAGUAUUUAAAGCCCUUGCAGCAGACCGCUUGGCCAAACUCAGGAUCUUAGCUUAGGUUGUCUUGAUCGGUCACAGAUUAGGUUUGGCAACGGGACCUCUUCUCCAACCUGGCAGAAUACCCCCUUUAGUCAGGCUGUGUUGGAAUUUGAACAUGAGACAGAGCUGGAUACUGACCUAGCUACUCCCUCUCUAGGCGUGAGUCUUUGGACUGAGUUCAUAACCUUUCUCCAGUGUCCAGCUCUUGUAUGUAAAAGGAGUAACAGUAAAUGCUUUUCUAGUAGGUAUUUUACAUUAAAGAUUAAACGGGACUAUGAAGUGUGUGUAUCGUAGUUCCCAGCCCUGAAUCAUUAUUUGGUAAUUAGCAUCAUUACUUUUACUUGGAAGACUGCCUCAACUAGCUUGCAUUAGUGUAUGCAUGCUUCUGUUAGAAAGAUAUGUUUUGACAUUAAAGCCAUAGUUUUCAAAGAAUUUCAGGGUAGCAACCCCUCCUCCCCCUCUUUGUCCCCCUCAAAGUCUGUGGGGACUUCUGAUAAUAUAAAAUAGAAUUACCCUCAUUGAAUGAGAGCCCUAGUGGUAAGAUUUAGACCCAAGGGUACCUUCCUUUGGCCUUUUCCAGAAGCUGCACCCCCCAGCCCCCAUCUCUUCUUCAUCUCCCUUGGGGACCCUGAAGCACCUGUGUAGGAACCUAGUACUCCAGGGAGUGUCAUCUGAAAACUCCAGGUUAAAGAAUUCUUUCAUCUGUCUCAAAGCAAAUGCUUUUGGAAGAGUAGUAGAAAGAGCCCAGGGCUUAAGUUGGGACACCUGAAUUUUAGUUCUGGUUUUUAUUAUUUACCAGGUGUACGGACCUUUGACCAAUCACUUCUUUGGCUUCAGUUACCUCUCCUGAAAAACGAGAUCAAUGCUUGCCUCAAAGGGUUAUUGCAAAUGUUACACUAGAUGAUACAAAUGAAAAUACUCUGUAACGUGUACUCUGUCAGUGUGGUGAGAGAACGUUGUAUUAAUAGCAUUCACCCCAGCACAGCCUCUCCCUCCUUGUUUUCUUUGCUUCCUAUGCCCUCCAGUCAGUUGCGUUAAUUACCACAGGGGAGAGAUAAUAUGAAGACAAAAUAAACCAAACAAAACCAGAAAUCGAAA